GAAAGUAGUUGAGGGCGGAUGGCGGAUGCCUAGGCUCACAGAGGCGAUGAAGGACGUGACAAGCUGCGACAAGCCGCGGGUAGGUGCAGAUGACCUUUGAUCCGCGGAUAUCCGAAUGGGACAACCCGGCCGUCUGAAGGACGGCCACUCCCCUGCUUUUUGGGGAGGGCCAACCCGGGGAACUGAAACAUCUUAGUACCCGGAGGAAAGGAAAAUAAGAAUGAUUCCCCCAGUAGCGGCGAGCGACCGGGGAGUAGCCCAAACCCGCCGCGUGGCGACGCGCGGCGGGGGUUGUAGGACCGCAUGGAUUGCACUCAGAGCGCGAACGGAACCGUCUGGAAAGCCGGGCCGCAGCGGGUGAGAGCCCCUUACGUGAAGCGCGACGAGGCAGAGCGGACUCCUGAGUAGGGCGGGACACGUGUAAUCCUGCCUGAAUCCGCCGGGCCCAUCCGGCAAGGCUAAAUACUCCUGUGAGACCGAUAGCGAACCAGUACCGUGAGGGAAAGGUGAAAAGCACUUCGAUGAGAAGAGUGAAAUAGUUCCUGAAACCAUCCGCCUACAAGCGGUCGGAGCUGCUUCUUGCAGUGACGGCGUGCCUUUUGCAUAAUGAACCUACGAGUUUCCGUCUCCGGCGAGGCUGCGGGUCUCGAGACCCUUCGCCGCAGUGAAAGCGAGCCUGAACAGGGCGCGUCCCCCUUUUUUGGGGGGCACAGUCGGAGGCGGCAGACGCGAAACCAAGUGAUCUACACAUGUCCAGGAUGAAGUUCCGGUAACACGGAAUGGAGGUCCGAACGGAUAAGCGUUGAAAAGCUUCCCGAUGAGGUGUGUGUAGGAGUGAAAGGCCAAUCAAACUUGGAGAUAGCUCGUACUCCCCGAAAGGCAUUUAGGUGCCGCGUGCAUGGUUUCCCGUUGGGAGGUAGAGCGACCGAUAGGAUGCGAGGGCUUCACCGCCUGUCAAGUCCUGACGAACUCCGAAUGCCCACGGGCUGCACAUGUGCAGUAAGGGGGCGGGUGCUAAGGUCCGUCCCCGAGAGGAGAAGAAUCCAGACCGCCGUCUAAGGCCCCGGAAUUCUGCCUGAGUUAGUCUAACGAAGUCCGGUCCCGGUGACAGCCAGGAUGUUGGCUUGGAAGCAGCCAUUCAUUCAAAGAGUGCGUAACAGCUCACUGGUCGAGGGUCCGGGCGUGGAUAAUAAUCGGGUAUAAGGCAGAUGCCGAAGACGCGGGAUAGCAUAUUUGAAAAGUAUCGGUAGGGGAGCAUUCCACGUGCGUCGAAUGGUGAGGGCGACCGAUCCUGGAGCGCGUGGAAACGCAAAUGUAGGUAUAAGUAACGAGAAGAGGGGUAGGAUCCCCCUCCGCCGCAAGACCAAGGUUUCCCGGGCGAUGCCAGUCAUCCCGGGGUCAGUCGGGCCCUAAGCCCCAGCCGAAUGGCGAAGGCGAUGGCAGACACGGUCAACAUUCCGUGACUACCUUCAGGAGCGAUGUGGAGACGGAGCAGUGACACGGCCGCGGACUGACGGAAUAGUCCGUUGAAGGGCGUAGGCGUCGACAUUCCCAGGCAAAUCCGGGAAUGGAGCCGACCCUGACAGUAUGGACUCCCCUCCGGGGGCGUCCAAUAGCGCCGGUAAUCAUACUUCCAAGAAAAUCCGCUAAGCACAUCCUGAGGGUACCCGUACCGCAGACGGACACACGUAGUCGGGUAGAACAUACUGAGGCGUUGAGAGACUCAUGGUCAAGGAACUAGGCAAACUGACCCCGUAACUUCGGGAGAAGGGGUCCUCGUGGCGACACGAGGCGCAGAGAAUAGGUCCAGGCAACUGUUUAACAAAAACACAGGGCUGUGCCAACACGAAAGUCGAUGUAUACAGCCUGACACCUGCCCGGUGCCGGAAGGUUAAGAGGAGAGCUCAGGGCUUCCGCCCGAAGGUUUGAAUUGAAGCCCCGGUAAACGGCGGCCGUAACUAUAACGGUCCUAAGGUAGCGAAAUUCCUUGUCGGGUAAGUUCCGACCUGCACGAAUGGUGUAAUGAUCCGGACGCUGUCUCGACCAUGAUCUCAGUGAAAUUGUAGUAUCGGUGAAGAUGCCGAUUACCCGCGAUGGGACGAAAAGACCCCGUGAACCUUUACUACAGCUUAGCGUUGACCCCGGCCAUCCGCUGUGUAGGAUAGGCCGGAGGCUUUGAAGCGUCGGCGCCAGCCGUCGUGGAGCCCCCCUUGAAAUACGGCCCUUCGGCUGUCUGGGGUCUAACGCGCUGAUUUGCGCGGACACCGCUUGGCGGGUAGUUUGACUGGGGUGGUCGCCUCCAAAAGCGUAACGGAGGCUUCCAAAGGUGCCCUCGGGUCGAUUGGCAACCGACCUCAACGAGUGCAAUGGCAUAAGGGCGCUCGACUGGGAGGCAGACAUGCCGAGCAGGCAGGAAACUGGGGCAUAGUGAUCCGGUGCAAGUGUAUGGAAACUGCAUCGCUCAAAGGAUAAAAGGUACUCCGGGGAUAACAGGCUGAUCCCCCCCGAGAGCUCAUAUCGACGGGGUGGUUUGGCACCUCGAUGUCGGCUCGUCACAUCCUGGGGCUGGAGAAGGUCCCAAGGGUUGGGCUGUUCGCCCAUUAAAGUGGCACGCGAGCUGGGUUCAGAACGUCGUGAGACAGUUCGGUCUCUAUCUAUCGUGGGCGCUGGAGUUUUGCGUGGCUCCGACACUAGUACGAGAGGACCGUGUCGGACAGACCUCCGGUUUGCCGGUUGUGCCGCCAGGUGCACCGCCGGGUAUCCGCGUCUGGAUCGGAUAAGCGCUGAAAGCAUCUAAGUGCGAAGCCGGCCGCAAGAUUAGAACUCCUUCGAGGGUCGUCCGAGACUAGGACGUCGAUAGGGCGCAGGUGUAUAGACGGCGACGUCACAGCCGAGCGCUACUAAUUGCCCGAAACUUUCCUUG
This 2923-nucleotide ribosomal RNA is filed under the name Segatella baroniae DSM 16972 = JCM 13447. Its description in RNAcentral is "bacterial LSU rRNA". It matches the Rfam family "Bacterial large subunit ribosomal RNA". Lineage: Bacteria; Pseudomonadati; Bacteroidota; Bacteroidia; Bacteroidales; Prevotellaceae. The record is from RNAcentral.